UACGUAGGGGGCAAGCGUUAUCCGGAUUUACUGGGUGUAAAGGGAGCGUAGGUGGAUUGUUAAGUCAGUUGUGAAAGUUUGCGGCUCAACCGUAAAAUUGCAGUUGAAACUGGCAGUCUUGAGUACAGUAGAGGUGGGCGGAAUUCGUGGUGUAGCGGUGAAAUGCUUAGAUAUCACGAAGAACUCCGAUUGCGAAGGCAGCCUGCUGGACUGUAACUGACGCUGAUGCUCGAAAGUGUGGGUAUCAAAAAGG
Molecule: ribosomal RNA, 253 nt
Filed under: uncultured Bacteroides sp.
Lineage: Bacteria; Pseudomonadati; Bacteroidota; Bacteroidia; Bacteroidales; Bacteroidaceae
Description: partial 16S ribosomal RNA
Rfam family: Bacterial small subunit ribosomal RNA
Source: RNAcentral